RNAcentral lists this ribosomal RNA (215 nucleotides) under uncultured bacterium. RNAcentral describes it as "partial 16S ribosomal RNA". It matches the Rfam family "Bacterial small subunit ribosomal RNA", at positions 335 to 539 of the family's 1533-position model. The record is from RNAcentral.
ACUCCUACGGGAGGCAGCAGUGGGGAAUAUUGCACAAUGGGCGCAAGCCUGAUGCAGCCAUGCCGCGUGUAUGAAGAAGGCCUUCGGGUUGUAAAGUACUUUCAGCAGUGAGGAAGGUAGUGUAGUUAAUAGCUGCUAUUAUUUGACGUUAGCUAGCAGAAGAAGCGACCGGCUAACUCCGUGCCAGCAGCCGCGGUAAUACGGAGGGUGCGAGC